RNAcentral lists this long non-coding RNA (5202 nucleotides) under Gallus gallus (chicken). RNAcentral's name for it is "lncRNA (ENSGALG00010022048.1)". The record is from RNAcentral. Lineage: Eukaryota; Metazoa; Chordata; Aves; Galliformes; Phasianidae.
AUCUAAUCCAAAGAGGGUAAGCAAGACUUGCCCUGAUCUGCCUUUGCUUCAAAACUGCCACUUUUAUUGAUUGUAACAGCAGAGGAGCUAACGUUUGGUCACGGAGAGUGAACUCUAUUUGCUCUUUUUUUUUUCUUUUUUCUUUUUUUUUCCUGAUGUUCCAAGUUAAGGCCUUGUUGCCAGUGGGUGGAGUGGUGAGAUCUACAUUGCAUCUACUAUGGCUAAGGAGAAGACCAGCAUUUCCAGGACUGUCAACUGAACCUCCUUCACACUACAGACACAACUUUAUAAAUACAAAAAGAAAAAGAAAAAAUUGAACUGUGAUCUUUCUGGAAUGGAGAUGUAUCCAAAAGAACUGUGCUUUGGGUUGUACAGCCUUCCCAAGGAGUCAGAACAAAUAUCCAGACUUCAACACGAGACCAAGCAGAGUUGCUCAGUCCCUGUGGAGAUGAGAUAUAGAACUGGAGAAUAUAAACAGAUGUGGAGACAUUUUGAUGCAUUUCUGAAAAAACAAAUGACAUUUUGCUGCUAUAUUUUAGAGUUCAGUCCAGCCCCCUUAUCAAGAAUAUGAUGCAAAAAACAAUAGUCACUUCAUUUUCAUUUCUCAGUCUGUCUGGAGAGCAAAAGGCACAGUCAUCUAGUAGAUGAGGUAACAUCAGAGCCUAACAACUGUUGAGAAAGUCUUGUAGAGUUUAAAAUGCUGAAGAAAAAGGGAAGAAUCAUUAAGAAACUAUAAAUCUGAAGGAAAUCAAUAUGAUAGUCUAAGAUCUUGAAAUAGCAUAGCAUGUAUUUUUAUUUAUUAUUGCAGGCAGGUUGAUUAGUACCUGAGGGAGAUUCUCAGAAUCACAAAGCAUGGGCUGGAAGGGACCGCUGGAGAUCAUCUACAAGCCAGCACAAUGCAUCUAACCCAAUACAGACUAAAAGAUUCCACAGAAACAAGGAACUAUAGGGUACUGGAGCAGAAAUGCUAAGUCACAGCUUGAACCAGUGAUUGAGCACCUGGUGGGAAGGCAGGGCCAACCCAGGGGAGCUCAGGUGCAUGCAAUGAGGAUCUGCCCGAUCCUGGCUCCACCCCUUCCCAGACCUCAUUUAAGGACUGGCAGUAGGGGCAAGAGCAUCUCACUGGAGAUCCCUGCCUAGUAGAGGCCUUCUAAAGGUAAGCAGUUUUUCUUCCUUUGUUUCUGCAUCCAUGGUUGCUGCAUUUGGGCUUGCUCUCAUUUGCUGCAGCCUAGGAUUGUGCUGCUCUGCUAUUAUUGCUAUGCUUUCCAUUACAUUGCAGAUACAAAAGGUUAAACUCCAUCUUCCUAGUCUUGUCCCCCUUCUUCUGUACGGGAGAGCCAUCCUGUGAAAGAAGUAAGACUGCAGCAGUGAAAGUUUAGGGUAUUUUCUACAUCUCUGGAGCUGACUUCUGCGGGCAGAUGAAGGACGUGCAGACAGCGAGAGUGUCUGUAGCUCACGGUUUUGAAAUGGCAAGGCAUGCUGUUCAAGGAUAUCUUUACCAAUUUUAACUAACCAGCGUGGCCUGCUCAGGCCAGUAUUAUGGACAGCAACAAACAAGAGGACACUUUGUCUCAUCAGUCUCAUGGAUAUAACUUUCUGCUUACAGCUGUAUUUGGCUAAGACCUGUACGUGGUUAUGGACUUUGACUCAGUGGCUGGGCUUGGAUGGGAGCCUUCUGGCUUACAAUCCUAUGCUCCAACCAUCUAAUCUCUCAGCCCAAAGGAAACUAUGGUGUCCCUGUGGACUCUUAGUAAGACACCACAGCUUUGUUGAGUGCUUAGCUUUUGAUGGGGGUAUUUGAAGGCUUCACAGAUGGCAUUCAGUGACUCUGUUCCCCCUUUCUACCUGGAGGCUGCCAAAGGAUGGCAGCAAAGAGACAGAUGUUAGAGGGAUGUCAGGGUGUGAAUAAAGGGGCACGUGCAACAGGAAAAGCGCUGCAAUAGCUGUUGCUGUGAAGGAAAAGCAUUCCAUACUGGAAAGCCAGCUAUAUGGAAUGCAGUCUUUUCUGCAGUUUGGUGCUGAUAAAAAUGCUGCACUGGCAUUUCUGCAAUAUGAUACUCCAAAGCAAGAAUAUGGUUUGUUAUUACAUCUGUGGCCAGCAGGACUUCGUGGUGGUGGAGGAGACAUCCUCAGCUAUGGCUGAAUGUUUAGUUUCCAUGCCCCUUCUGUCCUAGGAUGGCAGUCAGCAAUAAUUACUUCAGUGGUUUCUACCCUACAAUUCUUAGCCUCUAAGGACUAUACACGGAUCCAGAAACUCGUUCCAUGCAAGCCCUUUCUAACAGGAUGAUGACUUCUAGUUUCUGCUGGACUUGAUCUAGAUUCGCAUGGGAAAGCUAGAGAAGAAAUGACAGUUUGCUGGAGCAGCCUGUGCCAGGCCAGAUUUCUGUAACGAGCCAUCUGCAUUUGGAAACAACCCUGAGCUGACAGAGAAAGAAACAUAAUAAUCAAUCUGAGGCAUAUGAUAAUAGAUGCCCCAGGGGAACAGAAGAUCGAGCAUGCUGCCCUUUGGCCAUUGGCACUAAUUUGCCAAUUCAGUAGAGAUGACAAAAGACGAAGUGGGGAGUCCACGCCCAUCUCAGGUAAAAGAAUUGCCUGUUUCAAGAAAACUGGGAAACACUGAUAGGACAAAAUAAAUGGGAGAAGAACAAGACUCCUAUGUCAUCUUGUGGACUUCAGACACAGCGACAGAUCAAACGUAGUUAUGGUGAGAAAACAUUGAUAUUCUGCCUUCUCCUUGAGCAUAAAGCAGACAACAAACACCUCUCUUUAACCUGUAAAUGCUAGUAGGGCUUUGUAUGGAUGCUCUAGGUCUGUUGGAAUUUUCUUCCUUCUAAAACGAGUCUCAGAGUCACUGUAGACUAAGAAAAAGAGCAGAUUAAUCGAAUCGGCCUCCCGAACCACCCAGAUUGUACUUCACAAAGGAUUCUGUGUGUUCUUAGCAAGGUCAAUUGACUAAGUAGUCAUCUGUGAGUGUGGAUUCUUGUCUCUUUCUAACCUUCUCUCAAAUUAGGAGAUAUCUGGGCUUGGUGCUCUAUUCUGCCAGUUGCUCUGGCUUCAAAUUUUGAAUUUUUUUAAAAAAUUACACAGUUGAGUCUAAUGUUCAAUUUCAGUGGUUUCCAGGGGAUUAUUUGUAGUGCCUAUUCUGCUAUACAGAGAAAUCUUUCUUUAAAAACACGAUCCAUCUUUCUAGUAGUACUUCAUUUAGAAAUUCAGAGUGGGCAGAUAGCCCUGAGAUAUGGAUAUCCUCUUCUUUUGCCUUCUAUCUGAAAAAGGGGGAAAAAAAAUCUAGUAUUUUUUUCAGUAUUGCUGAUGUCCCAGACACGUCUGAGUAACUGUCAUGUACAAUCAGUAUCUAUCCAUGGGAAUCUCAUAGAACCAGGGUGGUUUUAAUGUUCACCAGAAUAUUUCUGUGAGAGUUCCUAGGAUGCCAGGGAAAGCACUGACUGACCACAGAAAACAGAUAUGAGACAAGUGCAUGAUGACUUUUUUUUUUUAAGGAAAAAAGUAUUAAGGAUCCAACUGAGAACUACACUGACACAACUAUAUUUACUUUUGGUCACUGUUAAGUCUGUGUUUUCCAGCCUGUUAACUCCACGAGAAUAAGACAUAGCUGCAGUAUGGAGCUGAGUCAGUUUGGAUUCAGCAUUUAAAGAAAGAAUGGAAGAGAAGCAACCAGGUGUCAAAAGAUGUAAGUAGGUUAGAUCACAAUGAGGAGAUAGCCUUCCCAUCUGCUGGGAACUCCUUUGCAAGGUAAGACUGUUAGAUAUACAAGUCCCUGGCUGGGACUGGUGAAGAGGAUGUAAGCAUGGAAACUAACAGAGCUCUACUAUGAUCAAGUAGGGGAUGAGGGCAGCAUUCCCUAUAAAAAGGAUCCUGAGGUCCCUGCUGAGGUGCCAAGGUUGAAUAUUUUGCCAGAGGUGGAAACUGAAUUGAUUUGUGCCCCUCAGGCUAGCUCCAGGAACCUCACUCCUGCCUGAGAGCAUUAGUCCACAUGUGGAGAGAGGCUUUUCAGCUGGAGACGAGUUUAUGGCUUUUGACUUUUUCAUGUUCAUGUGUUUUUAUAAAGCCACAAUCGUUUUGUUUUUUUUUAUUGGGCUUUUAUAGAAAGGUCUCUGAAGUCUAGCAAAAUCUCAGCUUAACAGUAGAGAUUGUGCUAGAGAGACAUAUAAGAAGUAAGAGAAAAUAAGAAGGCCAUGGGAGAGAUGGGUAAAUACAGAAGUGCAAGCAGAGUUCUGUCAAAGCAAGUUUCUGACUUACACAUUUAACUUUAUCCGUCAGCCUAGGGGCAAGUCUACAGCAUGAUUAACCUCCUAGAUCUCACUUGUUCCAGGUCCAAGCAUUAUCUGGCCAGAGUGCAUUGCCAAUCCACCAUGCCAGCCAUCCCACCAGAGGCAUCUUGAUGUCAGCAUUGAUGUGACCCAGAAAUGAGGGGAGAGUGACGGGAAUUCACUGUGCUGGGGAAUUCAGUGCUGCAGAUAGUGAAACACCUUCCAAACCAGAAGAGGAAAUGUUGUGUGAAAUGUUCUGGUCAGCCAAGGAAGUGGACCAUGCAGCAUGGGAUGGCAGCCCCUUCGUGAUCCCCGAGGCUUUGGUGCUGGGAUCAGCACAAGGAAGGACGCCAGAGGAAAAAGUCAGGUUCAGGUUGGAAACGUAUUGCUCAGAGGAAGCAGAUGGAAGAAGAGGUGUCUCUGACUUUGAAUCAGCUUCUGUAUGAUCAUGGCUUAAUGAUCAUAAAUCCUCUGGGGCCUGCAACCUAACAAGGGAAUAAAGGAGGAAGCGCCGUCUCUCUCAGAUCAAAGUAAAGAGAAAAGCUGAGAUGUAAAGGAGACGAAAUGAGCUACAGGCGGAACAAUAUGGAAACCCACUGCUGGGAAACCGUUUUUCCGAGCCAGAGAGGAGGCAGGGAAUUGUUCUGUGCAACCAUUCAGGAGCCUCCGCUCCCACGCAUUCUCCCGCUUGCUGACACCCUGCCAGGACCGCAAAGGAGGAAUUGAUUUACAUGCACCCAUUGCUCUUUGCUCAAACUGACGGGAAAGCUGACGUGGAGAAGUUAACCAGGAACAAGUGUUUCCCACCUGUGUGCAGCUGAACAUGGUGCACUUUGGUUUCAGUUCUGACGAAGUGCCGGUGAGCCUGACAGUGCAUCUGUUUUUCUAACUCUCUUGGUUAGUCCGAGGAGAGAUAUUCUCUCUCUUUGAAAAC